Molecule: non-coding RNA, 177 nt
Filed under: Candidatus Blautia faecipullorum
Lineage: Bacteria; Bacillati; Bacillota; Clostridia; Lachnospirales; Lachnospiraceae
Description: 6S RNA
Rfam family: 6S / SsrS RNA
About the family: E. coli 6S RNA was the first non coding RNA to be sequenced, but its function was unknown until recently. It consists of 184 nucleotides that fold into an extended hairpin structure with a large single-stranded internal bulge.
Source: RNAcentral
AAAAUCCUGGGAUGUGCGAGGCCCCUUCAUAUUUUGAACCUACAUUGAUCAAUAGGGAAUCCAACAUCUCAAAUGUGAUGUCAGACCUCUCGUCGUGGUAGGCAGAUCAUUUGUUGAGGAUACCCACCUAGCUGCGGCUAGGCGUCAAAUGGGAGGGAACGGCAUCCUGGGACAGAA